CCUACGGGUGGCAGCAGUGGGGGAUAUUGCACAAUGGGGGGAACCCUGAUGCAGCGACGCCGCGUGGGUGAAGGAGCGUUUCGGCGCGUAAAGCCCUAUCGGCAGGGAAGAAGAUGACGGUACCUGACCAAGAAGCCCCGGCUAACUACGUGCCAGCAGCCGCGGUAAUACGUAGGGGGCAAGCGUUAUCCGGAUUUAUUGGGUUAAAAGGGUGCGUAGGCGGGCUUUUAAGUCAGCGGUAAAAAUUCGGGGCUCAACCCCGUCCGGCCGUUGAAACGGGGGGCCUUGGGUGGGCGAGAAGAAGGCGGAAUGCGUGGUGUAGCGGUGAAAUGCAUAGAUAUCACGCAGAACCCCGAUUGCGAAGGCAGCCUUCCGGCGCCCUACUGACGCUGAGGCACGAAAGUGCGGGGAUCGAACAGGAUUAGAUACCCGUGUAGUC
RNAcentral lists this ribosomal RNA (439 nucleotides) under uncultured bacterium. RNAcentral describes it as "partial 16S ribosomal RNA". It matches the Rfam family "Bacterial small subunit ribosomal RNA", at positions 338 to 795 of the family's 1533-position model. The record is from RNAcentral.